CCUACGGGAGGCAGCAGUGGGGAAUUUUCCGCAAUGGGCGAAAGCCUGACGGAGCAACGCCGCGUGGGUGAUGAAGUAUUUCGGUACGUAAAACCCUUUCAGCAGGGACGAACACAAUGACGGUACCUGCAGAAGAAGCAUCGGCUAACUACGUGCCAGCAGCCGCGGUAAUACGUAGGAUGCAAGCGUUGUCCGGAUUUAUUGGGCGUAAAGCGAACGUAGGCGGUUUCUUAAGUUUGGUCUUAAAGACUGGGGCUCAACCCCAGGAAUGGACUGAAUACUGGGAGACUAGAGGAUGUUAGAGGAAAGUGGAAUUCCAAGUGUAGCGGUGAAAUGCGUAGAUAUUUGGAGGAACACCAGUGGCGAAAGCGGCUUUCUGGGACAUUCCUGACGCUGAGGUUCGAAAGCUCGGGGAGCAAACAGGAUUAGAUACCCUGGUAGUCCGAGCCGUAAACGAUGGACACUAGGUGUCGGGGGUAUCGACCCCCCGGUGCCGUAGCUAACGCGUUAAGUGUCCCGCCUGGGGAGGUACGGUCGCGAGACGUAGAACUACAAUAGAAGUUAGACGGCGUGAGACGUGCCGACGACGACGACGAGGGAGAGG
RNAcentral lists this ribosomal RNA (604 nucleotides) under uncultured bacterium. RNAcentral's name for it is "bacterial SSU rRNA". The stretch from base 1 to 521 matches the Rfam family "Bacterial small subunit ribosomal RNA", at positions 338 to 873 of the family's 1533-position model. The record is from RNAcentral.